CCCUUAGAUGUCCUGGGCCGCACGCGCGCUACACUGAUGCAUGCAACGAGUUUAUAACCUUGGCCUGAAAGGUCUGGGUAAUCUUUUGAACGUGCAUCGUGAUAGGGAUAGAUUAUUGCAAUUGUUAAUCUUGAACGAGGAAUUCCUAGUAAACGCGAGUCAUCAGCUCGCAUUGAUUACGUCCCUGCCCUUUGUACACACCGCCCGUCGCACCUACCGAUUGAAUGGUUCGGUGAAGAUCUCGGACUUCGAUAUUUAUUCUUUAUUGAGUUUAUAUUGUGGGAAGUUAUCUAAACCUCAUCAUUUAGAGGAAGGCGAAGUCGUAACA
Molecule: ribosomal RNA, 328 nt
Filed under: uncultured eukaryote
Lineage: Eukaryota
Description: partial 18S ribosomal RNA
Rfam family: Eukaryotic small subunit ribosomal RNA
Source: RNAcentral